AACCAUAGAAACCUGCGGAGUACCUGCGGAGGGAUCAUUACCGUGCCGUUCGGGGACGCCUCCGGGGCCGCUUCGGCCCCGGGGACUCGCCCCGACGUAGGCCUUCACCCGUGUUUACUUGACCCACGUUUGGUUGCUUCGGCGGGAAAGACGGUGCUGAGAUCAUCAUCGUUCCCCUCGGGUCCAGGAUUAAUAGAGAAUCGCUGGAUUAUUUUCUGGGGGGACAGUCACCGGCGCCCG
RNAcentral lists this unclassified non-coding RNA (240 nucleotides) under soil metagenome. RNAcentral's name for it is "partial contains 5.8S ribosomal RNA, internal transcribed spacer 2, and large subunit ribosomal RNA". The record is from RNAcentral.